This 565-nucleotide ribosomal RNA is filed under the name Hymenochaete globispora. RNAcentral's name for it is "partial small subunit ribosomal RNA". It matches the Rfam family "Bacterial small subunit ribosomal RNA", at positions 418 to 954 of the family's 1533-position model. The record is from RNAcentral. Lineage: Eukaryota; Fungi; Basidiomycota; Agaricomycetes; Hymenochaetales; Hymenochaetaceae.
CUAGCUACUGAAUCUUUGAUGUGUCAUCAAAGAUAAUGUAAAGGAAAAUAAUGAUAUUACUUUACUAAUAGUGUCGUCCAAAUACUCGUGCCAGAAGACUCGGUAAGGCGAGAGACGCAAACGUUAUUCGUCUUGAUCAGGCGUAAAGGGUGUGUAGGCUGCUUUAAGUGUUUAUAGUAAGACCUAUUGAGAUAAUUAAGCAAAAUGUACCCGUAAGUACUCUUAGUUAUUUCCUUAUUAUAAAUCAAUUAAAGCUAGAAUCUAAAGGAGGUUAAAACAAUACUUAAGGUAGGAGUACUAACCGUAAAUAUUAAGCAGAGUUUUAAAGGCGAAGGCAUUUAUCCAAUAAAGAUUGACGCUGAGAAACGAAAGUGAGGGCAGAAAAAAGGAUUAGAGACCCUUGUAUUCCUCACUGUCAACGAUGAAUGGUAGUUACUAGUUAGAAAUAAACUAGAGGCAAUGUUAACACGAAAACCAUUCCGCCUUGUAAGUACAACUGCAAAGUUGAAAACAAAAAAAUUAGUCGGUUUCGGAGCAAACGAAGUGAAGCAUGUUAUUUAUGAGA